This 481-nucleotide ribosomal RNA is filed under the name Megasphaera micronuciformis. RNAcentral describes it as "bacterial SSU rRNA". It matches the Rfam family "Bacterial small subunit ribosomal RNA", at positions 28 to 477 of the family's 1533-position model. Lineage: Bacteria; Bacillati; Bacillota; Negativicutes; Veillonellales; Veillonellaceae. The record is from RNAcentral.
GACGAACGCUGGCGGCGUGCUUAACACAUGCAAGUCGAACGAGAGCGUAGAGAAAGCUUGCUUUUUCUACAAUCUAGUGGCAAACGGGUGAGUAACGCGUAAACAACCUGCCCUACGGAUGGGGACAACAGCUGGAAACGGCUGCUAAUACCGAAUACGUUCCGAAAGUCGCAUGACUGUCGGAAGAAAGGAUGGCCUCUAUUUAUAAGCUAUCGCCGGAGGAGGGGUUUGCGUCUGAUUAGCUAGUUGGAGGGGUAACGGCCCACCAAGGCGACGAUCAGUAGCCGGUCUGAGAGGAUGAACGGCCACAUUGGAACUGAGACACGGUCCAGACUCCUACGGGAGGCAGCAGUGGGGAAUCUUCCGCAAUGGGCGAAAGCCUGACGGAGCAACGCCGCGUGAGUGAAGACGGCCUUCGGGUUGUAAAGCUCUGUUAUACGGGACGAAUAGUCUUAUGGUUAAUACCCAUGAGAAGGGACUU